RNAcentral lists this non-coding RNA (25 nucleotides) under Cricetulus griseus (Chinese hamster). The record is from RNAcentral. Lineage: Eukaryota; Metazoa; Chordata; Mammalia; Rodentia; Cricetidae.
GUGACUGAUGCUUUAUAUUAUUUAG